AUCGGCCCCAUGUUGAAUUAAAAGUUCAAUGCAGUCAGGAUUGCCAGAGCCAGCAGCAUCAUAUAGCACACUGUCUCCAUUUGGUGCCUGAGCAUUUACAUCGCCCCCUGUUGUUGUGGAGGACAUCAUGAUUUAGUGUUAGUUUACUGGUUUAAUGUAUAUAUGUAAAUGUAUAAUGUGUACUAUUUUCUUUCUUCUGGAAACAUUGGUCAACCAGUAUUACCAUAGUGAAUAAGGAUGUCCAGUGCCUCUGCUUGUCCGUACUCCGCAGCAAUCCCCAUGGGCGUCACUCCAUGCUCGUCUGUCUCCAAGACAUUUCCUCCAUUUUGCAGCAGGAGCGUAAGAAUGUCAGUGCAGCCCACCUUGGCUGCCUCAUGAAUAGCUGUCCAAUUUUUAGGGCAGGCUUGGUUAACCGAUGCCCCCCGUGAGAUAAGUGUAAAGGCGAUUUCAAAUGAGUCUGUUCUUACAGCUCCAAAACAAAACAUAAGAGCUUAUUUAAAAAAAGGUUCUGAAGGCACUAAAGAAAUUACAAAUGCUACCUACCCAAUAAUAAAGGGGAUUCAUUUUUGCUGUUGAUUCUGUUAGGUGAAGCGCCAUUCUCAAGCAGAGUCCUAACAAUCUCCACCAGCCCAGCCUGAGUCGCCAAAAUCAAUGGCGUCUCUCCAUCUGCCGUUUCCUCCUCUAAGCUCAACCUAUUCCCAAAGGGAACUUCUUAUCUGAACAUCGCACCUUCCGAGAGAGGCGAUGUCUUUACACGAUUCCUGAAUGCUCAGUUGAACUGCAGCAUCAAGAAGCUCAUCUUCCUCAUCUAGGUCAUCUAAUGGAUCCAUUUUCCUGGAGACGACAGAGGUGCUUCAGGGAUCGUGGGUUGUCUGGAACAAAUUCAGAAGCUUUAGUCUGCAUUCCCUGAGACUAGAGAAACCAUCGAUCUGUUGCUAGACAACAUCUCACAUGCAUUUGGUCAGUUUGAGACUGAUGGAUAUCAGCCGUGAGCAGAGGGGGACGCAGAUGACAUAGUCCAGCAGGAUCAGCACCACUCGUCCAGACAGGCCAACCAGGCAGCACAAACUCAUGAAGUCACAGAACUGUGAUGCAAUGGCAACAUAAACAUAGCAAUUGAAAUCCAUAAUAUUCAUAAUUUAGAUGACACAACAUUGUUCAUGUAGAUGUAUGUCAUUCCAAACAACCCCCAUGUUGAAAUGGAAGUCAUGGUGACAGUGGAAACAUUUGUCUACAUCAUAUCCAUUAUUCAGAAGUAAUCGGAUCAUCUCCUCGUCCUUCAGGCAGUAUUGUAAGGCAGUGGGAAACACGGUGUUGUUAACCUCAGUGAAGUAACAGUUCACAUCUGCUCGGUUGGCCAGGAGAAUCCUGACAAUCUCGUACAUCCCAGCUCUCACCGCAACUAGGAGGCACUGCAGGGGAUCCAGAUCAGGUUUGGCUCCAGCGUUCAACAGCAUCUCUGUGCAAGUUACAUCUCCAUUUGAGACGGCAAAGUAAAGGGCGCUCCUACGCAUGUCGCUGUAGUUGUCAGAGAUGGUUUGGUCAAGUUGAGCGUUCACAUCAAAACCACUAUCAACCAGGAGCUGCAGGCACUGCGCAUGACCUCCAUCUGCAGCAAAGUGAACUGGACUCUGACCAGACUGUACGAGAGCCUUCUUGCUUGUGACAGAUAUCAGUAUUUUUAAUACACUGAAAAUGGAAUCGGUAUGACGCAGGUAGUGGCCCUCGAAGGCUGCACGAUGAAUAGGAAGAUGCCCGGUCAAACUGGGCAAGUUUGGUGAGGCUCCAUGUUCAAGCAGAAGAUCCACACAGUCUGGGUUUCCAGAACCAGCUGCAUCCAUCAACACACUUUCACCC
This is a long non-coding RNA of Carassius gibelio (silver crucian carp), 1857 nucleotides long. RefSeq lists it as uncharacterized. The transcript has 6 exons. The record is from RefSeq and is a predicted model, not a curated record. Lineage: Eukaryota; Metazoa; Chordata; Actinopteri; Cypriniformes; Cyprinidae.